UUGACACCUGCACUUGCUGCAGUUGUCUAUUCAGCUACAGAGCAGAUAUAUUGCAGAGGCUGUUUAAGCUUCUGCCCACGGCCCUGUUGAUACGCUUUAGACUUGCCCAGAGAGGUGACCUCUAGGCAUGAGAUGGUAGCACAGUCUCCAUGCCCAUCCAGUCCUUGGCCUCU
RNAcentral lists this small RNA (173 nucleotides) under Gopherus agassizii (Agassiz's desert tortoise). Its description in RNAcentral is "TUC338 (ENSGAGG00000013008.1)". The record is from RNAcentral. Lineage: Eukaryota; Metazoa; Chordata; Testudines; Testudinidae.